RNAcentral lists this long non-coding RNA (214 nucleotides) under Gossypium barbadense (sea-island cotton). RNAcentral describes it as "long non-coding RNA (GBAR_LNC007367)". Lineage: Eukaryota; Viridiplantae; Streptophyta; Magnoliopsida; Malvales; Malvaceae. The record is from RNAcentral.
AUUUUAGACAAAUUUUAGGUCCACACGGCUUGAGACAUGGGCGUGUGACUCAUCCAUAUGUGACACACGGUCUGGCAACACGGUCGUGUGUCUCCUAUAAGUUCCUUUGUUUGCAAGUCAGUGAGUUACACGGCAUGGCACACAGAUGUGAGGGGCUAUUUCGAGAGUUAUACAGCCUAACACACGGGCGUGUGACACAGUCAUGUGACCCUAC